This 61-nucleotide transfer RNA is filed under the name Ictidomys tridecemlineatus (thirteen-lined ground squirrel). RNAcentral's name for it is "Spermophilus tridecemlineatus (thirteen-lined ground squirrel) tRNA". It matches the Rfam family "tRNA", at positions 6 to 65 of the family's 71-position model. Rfam says of the family: Transfer RNA (tRNA) molecules are approximately 80 nucleotides in length. Their secondary structure includes four short double-helical elements and three loops (D, anti-codon, and T loops). Further hydrogen bonds mediate the characteristic L-shaped molecular structure. tRNAs have two regions of fundamental functional importance: the anti-codon, which is responsible for specific mRNA codon recognition, and the 3' end, to which the tRNAs corresponding amino acid is attached (by aminoacyl-tRNA synthetases). tRNAs cope with the degeneracy of the genetic code in two manners: having more than one tRNA (with a specific anti-codon) for a particular amino acid; and 'wobble' base-pairing, i.e. permitting non-standard base-pairing at the 3rd anti-codon position. Lineage: Eukaryota; Metazoa; Chordata; Mammalia; Rodentia; Sciuridae. The record is from Rfam by way of RNAcentral.
UGUAGCUCAGUGGUAGAGUGUUCACCUUCCAUGUGGAAGGCCCUGGGUUCAAUCCUCAGCA